This is a non-coding RNA of Prunus mume (Japanese apricot), 161 nucleotides long. The record is from RefSeq and is a predicted model, not a curated record. Lineage: Eukaryota; Viridiplantae; Streptophyta; Magnoliopsida; Rosales; Rosaceae.
GGAUCUGUCGUACAACAGCUUUUCAGAAGUUAGCUUCGGAGUGCAUAAGCGAGAUCAUCUGAACUUGUUUGCCUGCUGCAGCAGUUCAAGUUCAACCGAUCCAGAUCAACUGUUUGUGGAUCCAAAGAAACGCAUGCAUACGCAUUGUCCUGGACGAAAAU